RNAcentral lists this ribosomal RNA (424 nucleotides) under uncultured bacterium. Its description in RNAcentral is "bacterial SSU rRNA". It matches the Rfam family "Bacterial small subunit ribosomal RNA", at positions 202 to 622 of the family's 1533-position model. The record is from RNAcentral.
UAAGACCUUGCGCUUUUGGAGCGGCCGAUGUCUGAUUAGCUAGUUGGUGGGGUAAUGGCCUACCAAAGCUUCGAUCAGUAGCUGGUCUGAGAGGACGGCCAGCCACACUGGGACUGAGACACGGCCCAGACUCCUACGGGAGGCAGCAGUGGGGAAUUUUGGACAAUGGGCGCAAGCCUGAUCCAGCCAUGCCGCGUGAGUGAAGAAGGCCUUCGGGUUGUAAGGCUCUUUCAGCCGGGAAGAAAAGGCUGCGACUAAUAAUCGCAGUUCAUGACGGUACCGGAAGAAGAAGCACCGGCUAACUACGUGCCAGCAGCCGCGGUAAUACGUAGGGUGCGAGCGUUAAUCGGAAUUACUGGGCGCAAAGGGUGCGCAGGCGGUUUUGUAAGUCAGAUGUGAAAUCCCCGGGCUUAACCUGGGAACU